Glycine soja is the source of this 141-nucleotide non-coding RNA. Lineage: Eukaryota; Viridiplantae; Streptophyta; Magnoliopsida; Fabales; Fabaceae. The record is from Rfam.
UUCUUAUCGGAUGAUAACUGUUACAUGUCAUGUUUUCUGAUUGGAUGUCAACUCCAGGAAAGAUAAAAUGCAUUACUGUUUUCAUUGAUCAACCUGACAGUCAUCAUCUAAUAAGAAUGUAACAUGUGACAGUCAACAUCA